Hirundo rustica (Barn swallow) is the source of this 1074-nucleotide long non-coding RNA. RefSeq lists it as uncharacterized. The record is from RefSeq and is a predicted model, not a curated record. The transcript is spliced from 3 exons. NCBI's taxonomy places the organism in Eukaryota, Metazoa, Chordata, Aves, Passeriformes, Hirundinidae.
UCAAAGAGCACCAGGGAGCACCUGGGAUCCGUCUGUUUUGGGGGCACUGAGCCACACUGCCUGCUAGAGGGUGGCAGUGGCCAUGAAAAGGAUGUCAGGAGUGGUUGGAUCCUGACGUGAUCGAUUUGACAGUGGAUUUAGAUGGAGAAGCAAAGUUGUUACCACACCUCAGCAAGACUCCCUGUAAGAACUCGAUGAUACAAAGAAAUCAGAAAGCCAAAUGGAAGAGUCACCAAUCAUUCCUUGGAAAGACAAAAGAGCAAAAGAGGUCCAGCAACUUCCUUGGUCAGAUCAGACCCGCCUGUUUCUGAAAUGGAGAUGUAGAUCAGCUCCAGAUUUGAUGUGGAGGAAGGGGCAAACAGCACAUAUUCAUCUCUGCCUCUUGUUAGGAUGACAGCCAUCACUAAGGACUUAUAUAAUUAAGAAGGUUAUCAGAAGGAUUCUGCAGUCUCCAGGAGUACAAACCCUUCAAGGCAUAUGUCAACAGCCUGUUAUGGUGACUUGAAACCCUGCUGGGUGGGAUUCUGUGAAAUACCCGAUAUGAUGGCAGAAUUGGACAGCAGUGGUGCUGUCCCCCUCUGAAAGGCAGAGGAGAGAAGCUGCACCUGUACACUCAAUAGCUGAUGAGGCAAUGGGUUACUCAUUUUGGGAAGAAGACCCCAUCACUAAGAAGGGAUGGAGGAAAAGGGCUGUCUCUUUAUUUGGGUGUGUGGGAGAUGGACUGAGCUUGGCUCCGAGGGCUGCUUGUCAAACUGACUCUUUACAGGGUAUCCCAAAGCUCAUCUAUCUCUGAAGUCUCCUUAAAGGAGAUGUUUUCAUCUAUGGUUUUGCCUUCUCCUGGGCUACAUGUACACAUACACUUAGGUUGGCGAAAGCUGCACUACUGAUGAGCUUGUUAGCUGUGGUGCCUUGUGUCUUUUUCAUUUAGGAUAUUGUAAAGUCUAGCUCUCAGUGGAGCUCUCAGAUGAGCCGCUCUCAUUAUAUUCUUGUUGUUACUCUUUCGUCUGUGGAUCUCUAUUGUGUAUUGCAGCUGACGUGAACAUUUCAAUAAAGUUCCAGCUCAGAUAGGCAGAA